Molecule: long non-coding RNA, 1477 nt
Filed under: Gossypium barbadense (sea-island cotton)
Lineage: Eukaryota; Viridiplantae; Streptophyta; Magnoliopsida; Malvales; Malvaceae
Description: long non-coding RNA (GBAR_LNC004507)
Source: RNAcentral
ACAUAUAAAAAAUAUUAAGUGAAGUUUUUUUUUAAAAAUAAUGAAUUAUACAAAUAGAAAACUCAAUUAAAAUAAAAUUAAAAUAACAGGGAUAAUUUAUAAAUAAACUAUUGAAAUUAAAAAAGGGACCAAAGCGCAAUUCGUGCGCAUGCACAAGGAUCAAAUCCGGAAAUAUUCCAGAUCCCAAAACACAACACUUAGGUGAGGACCAAAUUGGAUCAGUGUGCAAAUUGCAAAGAAAAAUUAAAAAACCAAAGAGAUCAAAACAUGAUUCAAUUGAAUGACUCAACAAAGAAGAGGGACUAUGCGCGCAAAUUGACCUUUCAAAGUAAAAGGGCGCGAAUCCGGACCUCCCAACGGGUCAACACGCGGAUCCUUUUUUUACAAACGCCGCCGUUUCAUAUAUUUCAUAAAAAACAGAAGAAAAAAAACCUAAAAUGAACCCCUAAUUAUUCUAAACAAAAUCAAAACAAAGAACCUUUCCUAUCUCUCUUUCAUUCAGUCGAACCAGACGAUUCCUUGCCCCCAACUGCUAGCUCACCACCGCAGUCGGCGGAUGGCGUCAUACAAGGGCCAAACCCGAUCCUAUUGGAAGCCAAACCCUUCUAAUUCCCCUUUAAGCUUCAAUCUCAACGAAACAAACAAGGAAUCGGAGGUGUUUUUCAACAACAGAUAAGUCCCUUUCCCCCUUAUAGAUUUAUUUUUUCAUGCAACAGAUAAAGAUUGCUGAAAUAGAAACGAAAAUCAAAGAAGAACGCGAUCUAAAAUCGCCUUAAAAACUGAUUUCGAAUUGAUUUUCUUAAUAUGCGUGUAUUCCCCCAUUUUAAUUCGUUUCAUUCGAUUUUAUAGCCGAAAAAUAAAAAAUAAAAAAUAAAAAGAAAUACAAAUUUCAUUGCUGUCAUUUUGCUGUUAUUUGCUGCUUUCUCCUUUUGUUUGUUAGUUUGUUGCAGGUGUGUAAGGCGUGGAGGAAUGAAGAUCGUGACAUGAAGGCUGGUUCCGUUGUGAGGCUGCGGCGCGCGUUUUAGGGUUUCCUGAGUGUUUUGUUGUUUUGGGUUAGGGGUUUAUUUUAUUUUGGGCUAAUAAUUUGCUUGUAAGUGGGCUAGAUAAUUAGGCUUGUAACAGCGACAUUGGACUUAAUCAUUUUAGUUUUAUUUUUGGUUUUGGUUUUGGUGUAAGCCCGGGCAAAUUUGGGCUUGUACAUUUGAUAUUCAUUUUACUUUGAAAAUUUGGUCAUUAAUCUUGGCAUAUAAGUAAUUAAUCAACCAUAAAAUUUACCUUUCUUUUCUCCGCUUUUUUUAUAUAAAAAAAUAAUCAAGUAAACUUAAGAGGAAAUAAAUGUGGUUAGUCCAAAGAUAAAUAUUAAAAAUAAAGAACAAAUAAACUACAUACCAAAUAACAUUAAGGUGCAAUCACAUAGAAUUUGCAUUUGUUUACCUUGAAACAAUGCACCUUACCUACAAACAUAGAAUUAAGGUUU